This 425-nucleotide ribosomal RNA is filed under the name uncultured bacterium. RNAcentral's name for it is "partial 16S ribosomal RNA". It matches the Rfam family "Bacterial small subunit ribosomal RNA", at positions 354 to 796 of the family's 1533-position model. The record is from RNAcentral.
GUGGGGAAUCUUAGACAAUGGGGGAAACCCUGAUCUAGCCAUGCCGCGUGAGCGAUGAAGGCCUUAGGGUUGUAAAGCUCUUUCAGCUGGGAAGAUAAUGACGGUACCAGCAGAAGAAGCCCCGGCUAACUCCGUGCCAGCAGCCGCGGUAAUACGGAGGGGGCUAGCGUUGUUCGGAAUUACUGGGCGUAAAGCGCGCGUAGGCGGACCAGAAAGUUGGAGGUGAAAUCCCAGGGCUCAACCUUGGAACUGCCUUCAAAACUGCUGGUCUGGAGUUCGAGAGAGGUGAGUGGAAUUCCGAGUGUAGAGGUGAAAUUCGUAGAUAUUCGGAGGAACACCAGUGGCGAAGGCGGCUCACUGGCUCGAUACUGACGCUGAGGUGCGAAAGCGUGGGGAGCAAACAGGAUUAGAUACCCGGGUAGUCC